This 501-nucleotide long non-coding RNA is filed under the name Pan troglodytes (chimpanzee). RNAcentral's name for it is "long non-coding RNA NONPTRT004606". The record is from RNAcentral. Lineage: Eukaryota; Metazoa; Chordata; Mammalia; Primates; Hominidae.
UCCAACAUGCAACAGGCUAUGAUUUUCUCUCACAGUGUCUUCUUGCCUCACAACCCACACAGCCCUCCACACCCACUGGCACGGGGAAUAGAUAGGAGAACAAGCAAACAGAGAUUCACAGCCAUCACUGUUACCAAGAUUUGCCUGUCUGUGCCUUGCAGAUGUUAUUUGGGGGUCCUACACCCCUCAGAGUAAUCAGCAGUGUUUGUUGGCCCCUCUUCCUGCAGAAAAGUCAACAAGUGUAAUUCAUCUUAAGAAAUGUAGGGUCCCUUUCACCACACUUUUGCAGAGGUGAGCUAUCAAGUACCAUCCUGGAGUUAAUACUCAAGCAAUCACUACAAUUCCAAUUAGUCAAAUUCCCAUGUGUUGUGGGAGGGACCUGGUGGGAGAUAAUUGAAUCAUGGGGACCAUUACCUUUUUGUAUAGUUGGUGUUUCACUGUCUGCAAUCAGUUGCAAGCAGUCUUGAGUGACUAAAAAGCAAAAAUUUAUCAUUUUAGUUA